Molecule: microRNA precursor, 78 nt
Filed under: Schistosoma margrebowiei
Lineage: Eukaryota; Metazoa; Platyhelminthes; Trematoda; Strigeidida; Schistosomatidae
Description: mir-3492 microRNA precursor family
Rfam family: mir-3492 microRNA precursor family
Source: Rfam by way of RNAcentral
AGCUUUCUGAAUCCGUGCACACACUUCGUCAGACACCAACCCAUCAGGGCUGGUUAGACUUUCAAGAUAAGCGAAGUU